UCUUGGUCAUUUAGAGGAAGUAAAAGUCGUAACAAGGUCUCCGUUGGUGAACCAGCGGAGGGAUCAUUAUCGAGUUAUUCAACUCCCAAACCCUAUGUGAACUUACCACUUGUUGCUUCGGCGCGCGCUUCGGCGCCGCCGAGGACACUUAAACUCUUUGUUUUUAUAAGCAUUUGUGAGUGGCCGAAAGGCAAAAAUACAAAUGAAUCAAAACUUUCAACAACGGAUCUCUUGGUUUUGGCAUCGAUGAAGAACGCAGCGAAAUGCGAUAAGUAAUGUGAAUUGCAGAAUUCAGUGAAUCAUCGAAUCUUUGAACGCACAUUGCGCCCGCCAGCAUUCUGGCGGGCAUGCCUGUUCGAGCGUCAUUUCAACCCUCGAGCCCGACUCUUUUGAGGACGGCUCGGCGUUGGGGGACGGCAGACUCCCCCCGGCAUCUCGCCGGGGACGCCGCCCCCGAAAUCUAGUGGCGGCCCUCCGAGGCGACCUGUGCGUAGUAACUUGUUCUCGCACCGGAAAGCUCAGAGCGGCCACGCCGUAAAACCCCAACUUUUUUCAGGUUGACCUCGAAUCAGGUAGGACUA
This 581-nucleotide ribosomal RNA is filed under the name uncultured eukaryote. Its description in RNAcentral is "eukaryotic LSU rRNA". The stretch from base 212 to 365 matches the Rfam family "5.8S ribosomal RNA". The record is from RNAcentral.